CACUGGGAAGCUAAACCAGGGUAACAGCAUUGGCCUUUUAAGCCAAAGAUUGGUGCCUCCCAACCACCCCUAGUGA
Molecule: transfer RNA, 76 nt
Filed under: Vanmanenia stenosoma
Lineage: Eukaryota; Metazoa; Chordata; Actinopteri; Cypriniformes; Gastromyzontidae
Description: tRNA-Lys
Rfam family: tRNA
About the family: Transfer RNA (tRNA) molecules are approximately 80 nucleotides in length. Their secondary structure includes four short double-helical elements and three loops (D, anti-codon, and T loops). Further hydrogen bonds mediate the characteristic L-shaped molecular structure. tRNAs have two regions of fundamental functional importance: the anti-codon, which is responsible for specific mRNA codon recognition, and the 3' end, to which the tRNAs corresponding amino acid is attached (by aminoacyl-tRNA synthetases). tRNAs cope with the degeneracy of the genetic code in two manners: having more than one tRNA (with a specific anti-codon) for a particular amino acid; and 'wobble' base-pairing, i.e. permitting non-standard base-pairing at the 3rd anti-codon position.
Source: RNAcentral